RNAcentral lists this long non-coding RNA (616 nucleotides) under Mus spretus (western wild mouse). RNAcentral's name for it is "lncRNA (ENSMSPG00010023576.1)". The record is from RNAcentral. Lineage: Eukaryota; Metazoa; Chordata; Mammalia; Rodentia; Muridae.
GAGAUCUGCUGAUGGACCUGCCUCCUGCCAGUGCCAGGUAGGGGCCUGGUGACAGCAUCAUGAGGCAAAUAAGAGAGAAAAAGGCUCCACGGAGCAUAACAGGGUCUGACCCAGGAAUCCAGGAGUUCAUAUAGGAGCCCUGCCCUUCCAUUGCUGUGACAGACAGAAUGAACAGGAGCCUAACUUAACAGCCCUCUGAGAGACUACCCAGAAGAUGACUGAGACAGAUGGAUAUACCUACAGACAAACAUUGGACGGAGGUUGGGGACCUCCAUGGCAGUUAGGGAAGGAGAUGACAACCUCACAGGAGGACCAACAGUGUCAACUAAUCUGGACCUCUAGGAGUUCACAGAGACAGAGCCACCAAGCAAAGAGCAUACAUAGGCUGGUCUGAGCCCCCUGAUUCCUAUGUAGCACAGGGCUGUCAUAUCUGGCUGCCUCAGUGGGAGAGGAUGUGCCUAAUCUUGCAGGGAUUUGAUGCACAAGGGUGUGUGUGAGAGCUACAGGGGGUAUGCUGCCCUCUUAGAGGAGAAGGGGAGGGGAAUGGGGAGGAGCUCUGUGAGGGUAGACCAGGAAGGGGGCAACAUUUGGGAUAUACGUAAAUAAAUGAAUUUUC